UACGUAGGUGGCAAGCGUUGUCCGGAUUUAUUGGGUUUAAAGGGUGCGUAGGCGGCCCUGUAAGUCAGUGCUGAAAUAUCCCGGCUUAACCGGGGGGGUGGCAUUGAUACUGCGGGGCUAGAGUACAGAUGAGGUAGGCGGAAUUGACGGUGUAGCGGUGAAAUGCUUAGAUAUCGUCAAGAACACCUAUAGCGAAGGCAGCUUACUAGGCUGUAACUGACGCUGAGGCACGAAAGUGUGGGGAUCAAACAGG
Molecule: ribosomal RNA, 253 nt
Filed under: uncultured bacterium
Lineage: Bacteria
Description: partial 16S ribosomal RNA
Rfam family: Bacterial small subunit ribosomal RNA
Source: RNAcentral